CAAUGUGUGUUAUAGUGGUUAGGGAACUGGGCUUAUAACUCUGGGGUUGUGGGUUCGAUUCCCAGCUGGGGCA
This 73-nucleotide transfer RNA is filed under the name Anguilla anguilla (European eel). RNAcentral describes it as "tRNA-OTHER". The record is from RNAcentral. Lineage: Eukaryota; Metazoa; Chordata; Actinopteri; Anguilliformes; Anguillidae.